RNAcentral lists this ribosomal RNA (305 nucleotides) under uncultured bacterium. RNAcentral describes it as "partial 16S ribosomal RNA". It matches the Rfam family "Bacterial small subunit ribosomal RNA", at positions 334 to 655 of the family's 1533-position model. The record is from RNAcentral.
UUGCCCUACGGGGGGCAGCAGUGGGGAAUAUUGCACAAUGGGGGAAACCUUGAUGCAGCGACGCCGCGUGAGUGAAGAAGUAUUUCGGUAUGUAAAGCUCUAUCAGCAGGGAAGAAAAAAGACGGUACCUGACUAAGAAGCCCCGGCUAACUACGUGCCAGCAGCCGCGGUAAUACGUAGGGGGCAAGCGUUAUCCGGAAUUACUGGGUGUAAAGGGAGCGUAGACGGCUGUGCAAGUCUGGAGUGAAAGGCGGGGGCCCAACCCCCGGACUGCUCUGGAAACUGUAUGGCUGGAGUGCAGGAGG